ACUUCCUACGGGAGGCAGCAGUGAGGAAUAUUGGUCAAUGGGCGAGAGCCUGAACCAGCCAAGUCGCGUGAGGGAGUACUGCCCUAUGGGUUGUAAACCUCUUUUGUCGGGGAGCAAAAGCCGGGCGUGUCCGUCUGUGAGAGUACCCGAAGAAAAAGCAUCGGCUAACUCCGUGCCAGCAGCCGCGGUAAUACGGAGGAUGCGAGCGUUAUCCGGAUUUAUUGGGUUUAAAGGGUGCGCAGGCGGAUUUUUAAGUCAGCGGCCA
This 265-nucleotide ribosomal RNA is filed under the name uncultured bacterium. Its description in RNAcentral is "partial 16S ribosomal RNA". It matches the Rfam family "Bacterial small subunit ribosomal RNA", at positions 334 to 597 of the family's 1533-position model. The record is from RNAcentral.